This is a non-coding RNA of Felis catus (domestic cat), 86 nucleotides long. The record is from Rfam. NCBI's taxonomy places the organism in Eukaryota, Metazoa, Chordata, Mammalia, Carnivora, Felidae.
GCCCGGGUGGCUCAGUCGGUUGAGCGUCCAACUUCGGCUCAGGUCAUGAUCUCCCAGUUCGUGGGUUCAAGCCCCGCAUCCGGGCU